GUUGUUUCAGAAAAAUUGUACCACCUAGUUAUAGAUAUAAUUUAGAAUAAGACUAUAUGUUAAAAAAAGAGGACGAAAGAUACCAAAGGGACAGUCAAACUCAUAAAUCCAAAACAACUGACAACGCCAUGGCUAAAAACGAAAAAGACAAACAAACAACAGCACACACGACACAACAUAGAAAACCAAAGAAUAAACAACACGAACCCCACCAAAAAACUAGGGGUGAUGUCAGGUGCUCCGGAAGGGUAAGCAGAUUCUGCUCCACAUGUGGCACCCGUCGUGUUGCUUA
This 292-nucleotide long non-coding RNA is filed under the name Mytilus galloprovincialis (Mediterranean mussel). Lineage: Eukaryota; Metazoa; Mollusca; Bivalvia; Mytilida; Mytilidae. The record is from RNAcentral.